CCCGCGCUCCGCUCCGGGCGCCAUUUUGUGCGCGGCGGGGCCGGUCGGUACCGGGAGCGGCUCCGGGCGGGCAGCGCUCCCCGCCGCCUGCAGGGCGCCAUGCCGGCCGGGCCGGUGCAAGCGCUGCCUCCGGCGCAGCCAGCGCCGCCUCCUGCCGAGAGCAAACCGGUGCUGCUCGGCCUCCUCCUCCUGCUGCACUUGGGUUUCCUUCUCCACCUGAAGCAACCUGUUCCCACAGCUCAUCCUUCUGCUUCUCCAACUCUUCCAGCUCAGGGAGUUGACCUGCUGCAGCAGCAUCUGGAGAUGUUUGCUGAUCUCUGGGAGAGGUCCAUGCUCUGCUCCAAGGCCCAGUAGCUCACGUCCAUGACAGAGAGGGUCCUUCUCUCCGUGCUCUCCACCACUUUCUCCUGGAACUUGCCCAGAGCUGAGGGGAUGUUCUGGCUCUGGCAGAUGCUGGUGGUGGCUCUGCCCACCUUGCAGAGGCUGGUCUGGGCACUGCUGCAGCUCUCACAGGGUCCCUGAGGCCACCCAACCAUCUGUGUGGUGACACUGGAGCUUCUCUUGGCCAUGUUGCAGGCAGCCCUACAGGUUGGUGGCCGAGGUGUCACUCUCUGGUGCAGGGACACUGGAUGAUGAGUGUGGUGACGUGAGCUGGGCAACCUGUGUGGAAGUUCUUGACUUCAACAGGUCAGACAAGCAGAGUUCCAGGAGCUGCUUCUUGGCUUUCCCAGCCUGGGGAGUGGGUGGCAGCAGGGGGACCUCCUUCCUGCCAGGAGGCUGGAUCCAGCAGCGUGGCUGGGAGCGGUGGUUAGAGAAGGGAGGGACUGGGGCUGGGAGGGGACAGUGGGACAGAUGUGUCCUGCCUGGCACACAGCUCAGCACUGGAAGGGCCACCAGCCCAGGGCACAUCUGGUGCUGCCACUGCACGUGUCACGGCGUGUCCUGGAGAAGGAUGGUGACCAAACCAUGGGGAAUGAGGCAGGGGCUGUUUCCAUGGCCCUCAGCUCAGGGGGUGUCAGGGCCCCCAGAUGUGACACCUGGUCCAGGAGCUGCUGGUAAUAGUCCCCCAGUCUGAGCAGGCUUCCCCAGGCCCUCCUGGCUGUCAGCCCUACAGACUGGCAGGCAGCUCCCUGGGAAUGGCUCCUCUUCUGAAACACAGUCUUUAUGUCACCCAGGUUGCAGAAGGUGCUUUUGCCUCCCAGGCCUGUAGAUGCAGCUGAGUCCAAGUGUUUCCAAGGCUUGGGGGUGCAACUGAAGGAGCCUGCCCCCUCUGCCCAGGUGCCCUUGGCUCCUGGGUGGGGCAGGGACUUCCUCUGCUCCUUUAUGGCCAGUGUUUGUGCUGGUAGCUCUGAGCUUGGGUGGAAUUGGGUUUUAAAACUCAGUGUAGAGCUGCAGAGCGUGAGGCUGAGGUGCUGGCUCGUCAUGGAAAUGGGUGGGAAAACAGCACCCAAACCACUAGGCUGCAUGGGACAGGCUGGGGACACAACUGUCCCCUUCCCUCUGGGGAAAGGACCUGCAGUUGGAGCUGUAGAACUUGCCAUAUUGUGUGCUUUAGGUGAACUUGGCUCAUUAUAAUGUCUUUAUAAUACUAAAAAUCACACCCCCAGGUCAAAAAGACUCCUGCCCUGGUGAAGACCCUGCCCCUGAGCAUGUGUGGGGGAUAUGAUAACUAUCUGUAAAACACUGACCAAUCACUAUGAGGGGGAUGGAUUUGGAAGCUUACACACUUUCUAGUUUUGUGUAUAAAUAUGUCAUGAAAAGUCUCCUUUGGGCUGCUUGAUUUGUGGGAAGGCACCAAGCACCCAGCUUUGUACAACCCUGCAAUAAAUAACUGUCUCUUUCCUUAA
This is a long non-coding RNA of Apus apus (common swift), 1847 nucleotides long. RefSeq lists it as uncharacterized. The transcript is spliced from 2 exons. The record is from RefSeq and is a predicted model, not a curated record. NCBI's taxonomy places the organism in Eukaryota, Metazoa, Chordata, Aves, Apodiformes, Apodidae.